Molecule: ribosomal RNA, 548 nt
Filed under: uncultured bacterium
Lineage: Bacteria
Description: partial 16S ribosomal RNA
Rfam family: Bacterial small subunit ribosomal RNA
Source: RNAcentral
UAGGGAAUCUUCCACAAUGGACGCAAGUCUGAUGGAGCAACGCCGCGUGAGUGAAGAAGGUCUUCGGAUCGUAAAGCUCUGUUGUUGGUGAAGAAGGAUAGAGGCAGUAACUGGUCUUUAUUUGACGGUAAUCAACCAGAAAGUCACGGCUAACUACGUGCCAGCAGCCGCGGUAAUACGUAGGUGGCAAGCGUUGUCCGGAUUUAUUGGGCGUAAAGCGAGCGCAGGCGGAAUGAUAAGUCUGAUGUGAAAGCCCACGGCUCAACCGUGGAACUGCAUCGGAAACUGUCAUUCUUGAGUGCAGAAGAGGAGAGUGGAACUCCAUGUGUAGCGGUGGAAUGCGUAGAUAUAUGGAAGAACACCAGUGGCGAAGGCGGCUCUCUGGCCUGCAACUGACGCUGAGGCUCGAAAGCAUGGGUAGCGAACAGGAUUAGAUACCCUGGUAGUCCAUGCCGUAAACGAUGAGCGCUAGGUGUUGGGGACUUUCCGGUCCUCAGUGCCGCAGCAAACGCAUUAAGCGCUCCGCCUGGGGAGUACGACCGCAAGGU